Molecule: ribosomal RNA, 252 nt
Filed under: uncultured bacterium
Lineage: Bacteria
Description: partial 16S ribosomal RNA
Rfam family: Bacterial small subunit ribosomal RNA
Source: RNAcentral
UACGUAGGGGGCUAGCGUUGUCCGGAAUCAUUGGGCGUAAAGAGCGUGUAGGCGGUCCGGUAAGUCCGCUGUGAAAGUCGGGGGCUCAACCUCGAAUGCCGGUGGAUACUGUCGGGCUAGAGUGCGGAAGAGGCGAGUGGAAUUCCUGGUGUAGCGGUGAAAUGCGCAGAUAUCAGGAGGAACACCGAUGGCGAAGGCAGCUCACUGGGACGGUACUGACGCUGAGACGCGAAAGCGUGGGGAGCAAACAGG